CGCCGUCUUGCCCUUAAGUUAAAUGACGUAGUAGAAUAGUACUAAAAUUGACGCCGUUUUCCCCUCUCCUCCCCCUUAAUGUUUUCUCGAAACCCUAAAUAAACGCCGUCGCCGCCAUAUGCCCAGACCAACGCCGCUAACAGAGACGACGAGAAAUACGGCUAAAGGAGAGGUUGCGGAGAUCAACGCAAAGCCCAAACCAAUGUUGCCUCGAUUUGAGCAAGCUUCUGCCAGUGACGCGAAAAGUGGGUGAUGGGUUUGACAGCACAGUCCAGGAUUUCGGGGAUGAGGCGGUCGAGUUGUGGUUUGGUGAAUUGGAGGCGUCACGACCCUUAGAGAGAAGGGGAUCGGCGGAGGAAGAGGGUUUUGACGGUGGAGGAAUCGGCGGCGACGACGCCUCCAUUUUCUCUCUCCAUCGAUUUCUGCUGUAGGACUGCCUGUUUCGAUGAAGAUCAUGAUAUGAACGAGCUUGAUAAAUAUUACUUUGUAGAAAGAAAGAAGAAAUUCGUAGCUGCGAAUGGUACAACACCAAAGCGGGAAGUCAAAGGACAUUUUUGCUGAGGAUGGUGGAGGGUCAGCAACAAUAAAACCAUUCGAGACAAGCUAGGCAAUGCUAUUGGUUCAGUGAUGUCGUUAACAUAUUUCAGUUACAAAAAUAGCAAUCAAAGACGUGAAGAAAGCAUCAAAACUGAUUGGAUCAUGCAUUAAUUUAAGCUAAAAAAUGAUAAGUUCCAAGAAUGGGUUUUGCGUAGAAUCCGGGAUGGGAAUAAAAGGAUAAACAAGAAAUUAACUGUAGGAGGCAGUGAGAAUUUGCAGCUGCAAAUUAGUCCCAUGAAUACUGAUGAUGAUGAUCAGUACCUUAGUAGUUGUGGAAGCACUCGUGAUUAGGUACUAGCUGUUGGAUAUAGGUUUAAACCAACUGAUGAAGAACUCUUUUCUGAUUACUUAAGGAGGAAGCUUAAUGGUGAACAGCAAUUGCCAUCCAAUGCAGUCAUUGAUAUGGACAUCUAUGCAUAUGAGCCAUGGUUUCUUUCAUAUGAUAUUCAUGGGUCCAAUAGCAAUAUGGAUAAUGAUGAGCAUGAGCGUAAUAGAUAUUAUUUUGUAAGUCGACAGAAGAAAUGUGUAACUAGUGAUAGAGGGAAGAGGCCCGAUAGAGAUGAAAAAGGGAAGUUUGAUGUUGGAGGAUGUUGGAAGGCCAGCACCGGAGACAAAUACAUUCGAAACGCCCGAAAUUUGAAAGUCAUUGGCUAGAUCAAAACCUUAACAUUUUACAAGUACAAGAGCAAAAAUCGAAAUCGUCGUGAAUGCAUGAAAACUGAUUGGAUUAUGCAUGAGUAUAGUCUUUCAAGAGAUACGGUAUGAGUGCAGUUCCAAAAAUGGGUGGUUUGCCGAAUAAGAGAUAAUAGCAAGAAAAGCAAGGAAGAAAGAAAGCGAAACAAAAAUGAAGGCAGUGACGAAAGUUACACCAAUAUUACUUGUGAGGAAGAAAUAGUAGUGCCUAACAUGGAAUUGGUAACUCCAAACACCAAGAAUGAAGAGCAGCAGCAGGAGGAACGUUUUGCAAAUAUGUCCCACAUGAGUAGUAGUACUGAGCUGAAAUCCAACAAUAACUGUGAAGGAAAAUCUGACAUGGAAUUAGAAAAUGCAAAUGAAGAAUAUUUAAAUUGGAUGGAGUAUAUGUUUUUUGAUGAUCAUGAAGUGCAGUAGAAACAAUUUUCAAAUAUGUCCCACUCCCACUCCCACCAAGAGCUGCUGCAAGAAAAAGGAGUACAAGAGCAGCUGAAACCCAUGGAAAUAGAAACUGCAGAUGAAGAAUAUUUAAAUUGGCUGGAGCUUAUAUGUUUCGAUGAUGAUGAAGAGCAGCAGAAACAAUUUUCAAAUAUGUCCCACUCCCACCAAGAGCUGCUGCAAGAAAAAGGAGUAGAAGAGCAGCUGAAACCCAUGGAAUUGGAAAUUGCAUACACCAAGGAUGGAGAGUAUUUAACUGAGGAGUAGGAGGAGCAUUCGCUGCAAGAAAAAUCGGACAUGGAAUUGGAAACUGCAGACAUGGUGUAUAAAGAUUUGUCCAGGACGUAGAUUUCCCUUUUCUGCAGAAUAAAGAUUUACUUUUAGGGCAGGAUGAAGUAGAAUUAUAUUUGGUCAAUUAUGAUGAAUAACCCCAAUUGUGUGUUUGAAAUAAGCUGUAAAUAAGAGAGUCUCUGAUCUCCAUUGACAUGUAUGACCAAAAUUGUGUUUCUAGAUUGUUAUUCAGCAUUCUUGAUCUGUAAACAUAAAUAUAGUACUUCUGUUCAUUCUCA
Cornus florida is the source of this 2297-nucleotide long non-coding RNA. RefSeq lists it as uncharacterized. The transcript is spliced from 5 exons. NCBI's taxonomy places the organism in Eukaryota, Viridiplantae, Streptophyta, Magnoliopsida, Cornales, Cornaceae. The record is from RefSeq and is a predicted model, not a curated record.